RNAcentral lists this long non-coding RNA (796 nucleotides) under Ananas comosus (pineapple). RNAcentral describes it as "long non-coding RNA (ACOM_LNC015153)". The record is from RNAcentral. Lineage: Eukaryota; Viridiplantae; Streptophyta; Magnoliopsida; Poales; Bromeliaceae.
UAAAAAUGGGCUCGGCAUACCAGCUCGAGCGUAACUGAAAUCUGAACUACCUGGAAUACUCACUAUGAGGAUACUGCAACAGUAUAAAAAUACAACGGCCCCUAGGGCUAAAUCAGGUAGUUUAACAUAUGCCAGGUCCCGAACGCUGGUUGUCUCCUAUGUUUUAUCCAAGUCCAACAUGUAUGAUUAAUAACAGCUAAUAACAUGCUCCCAAUUCAGUUAAUAUGUCUAAAACAUACCUACUCCUGAAUUUGAGCUAAACAAUAACAACUUGUAAUAUUAACAAUAUAUGUCGACCAACAAUACUAUAGGAGUAGGAUUUCGAUGAUAAACCCACCUCAAACGCUAAUCACAAUCCGGCGCGACAACGAAAACGACGGAAUCGGACCCUCGUCCGUCCCCCCUCACGAUGCUACGACGACGAACACACGCUCGAACGGCACCGCGGCGCGACGUCGACGAAACUCCACACCACCCGAGCUUCUCCUCUAUGUACGGCUCAAGAACUAUAUAUAUAGGAAUUGCAAUGAACAUGUAUUAAAUUGAUAAGCAUGCUUGGGGGUAAGGUGCACGUGGCAUCCUUAUCCCCAGCUAGCUUACCAACUUAAAAAAAUAAAAAGAAAAAGGAAAAGAAAAGAAAAAAAAUAAGGAUACUACAUCCUUCCCCACUAUAAAAAGUUUCGUCCUCGAAACUUAAAACAUACCUCAAGACGGGGCAACGAACAAGUCGGGGUAGGACUCCCUCAUCACUGUCUCAGACUCCCAAGUCGCCUCCCGCUCCUCGUGAUUGCUCCAC